This is a non-coding RNA of Nicotiana tabacum (common tobacco), 448 nucleotides long. NCBI's taxonomy places the organism in Eukaryota, Viridiplantae, Streptophyta, Magnoliopsida, Solanales, Solanaceae. The record is from RefSeq and is a predicted model, not a curated record.
AAUGCUUUAAUGUUCUUUGAUUUUUUAAGUGGUGAAAGUUGCAUUUUAUUGGAAUUUUAGUCAGUUAUUAGACUAGAACCGUGUCUUUUUUAAAGCAUAGUUAUUCUGGCUUUGUCAUAUGAUGAAUUUGGAUCAAUGUGUUUGUAUGUAAAAGGAUCUGUUAGGAUGCAUGUCUUGAGUAAUAGGUGUUAGGUCAUGAUUCUCUAAUCUUUAAUGCUAUUUAAAUUUAAGCGGUGAACUUAUACUCAUUGGUGCUAGAAAAAAGGAUGGCAUACAACAAGUGAGAUGAUACAAUCAGAAUUACUCCAAGUGAGACAAUUCAUGCGCAAAUAUGCUCCUAAUGAACCUAUGCGUCAAAAUAUCAAUGGCACCUCAACUGAACAGGUUCCUGACGCCAACAGUAGCCAUGAACGAGUACCACAAACAUCAAGGAUACCUAGUGUUGCUG